GCUAGGCCCAGAGUUCCAUCCUUAAUCCCUGUGUCAUCUCACUACACGCACUAUGUGAUCUAUGUAUCCAUUCACAUGACCUCAACUACACUCUAUAUCGAUGAUACCAGUGUUCACAUCUCCAGUAAAGAUCUCCCUCUAGUUCCAAGCAGGACCAGUUCUUUUUGUUUAAGACAAACAGGACACCAAUAAAGACGACUGCGCAAGUUACACCUGAGUGUUGGAAAGCUCACUGGGGCAGUGGCUGGAGGGUCAAGGAGCCUGAUGGACCCAAGAAGGCAUACUAAUCAUUCAGAGGCCCAGGGCUUGCAGGGUGGUUAGCGACUAUGAAGCAGGAUCUGCAGCGAACUGAGCCUAUGCCUGAGAAAAACAAGGACAGAAGAAACAAACCAAAGAAAAAGCUGAGACAGACAGAGCCAUAUUUCCUCCCACAGUACCUCCAGCGUUGGUUUAAUCCUUGGACCACAGCACAGAUAAUUAUAAUAAUUAAUAAUCUUGAUAUUUCAGUGUUAA
Oryctolagus cuniculus (rabbit) is the source of this 513-nucleotide non-coding RNA. The record is from RefSeq and is a predicted model, not a curated record. Lineage: Eukaryota; Metazoa; Chordata; Mammalia; Lagomorpha; Leporidae.